RNAcentral lists this transfer RNA (75 nucleotides) under Brachystegia allenii. Its description in RNAcentral is "tRNA-Val". It matches the Rfam family "tRNA". Rfam says of the family: Transfer RNA (tRNA) molecules are approximately 80 nucleotides in length. Their secondary structure includes four short double-helical elements and three loops (D, anti-codon, and T loops). Further hydrogen bonds mediate the characteristic L-shaped molecular structure. tRNAs have two regions of fundamental functional importance: the anti-codon, which is responsible for specific mRNA codon recognition, and the 3' end, to which the tRNAs corresponding amino acid is attached (by aminoacyl-tRNA synthetases). tRNAs cope with the degeneracy of the genetic code in two manners: having more than one tRNA (with a specific anti-codon) for a particular amino acid; and 'wobble' base-pairing, i.e. permitting non-standard base-pairing at the 3rd anti-codon position. The record is from RNAcentral. Lineage: Eukaryota; Viridiplantae; Streptophyta; Magnoliopsida; Fabales; Fabaceae.
CUAUAGCUCAGUUAGGUAGAGCACCUCGUUUACACGUGCGAGGUCUACGGUUCGAGUCCGUAUAGCCCUACCUAA